This 254-nucleotide ribosomal RNA is filed under the name uncultured bacterium. RNAcentral's name for it is "partial 16S ribosomal RNA". It matches the Rfam family "Bacterial small subunit ribosomal RNA", at positions 524 to 776 of the family's 1533-position model. The record is from RNAcentral.
UACGUAGGGGGCGAGCGUUGUCCGGAUUUAUUGGGCGUAAAGAGCUCGUAGGCCGUUCGGUAAGUCAGAUGUGAAAACUCCAGGCUCAACUUGGAGAGGCCAUCUGAUACUGCUGUGACUAGAGUCCGGUAGGGGAGCACGGAAUUCCUGGUGUAGCGGUGAAAUGCGCAGAUAUCAGGAGGAACACCAGCGGCGAAGGCGGUGCUCUGGGCCGGAACUGACGCUGAGGAGCGAAAGCGUGGGGAGCAAACAGG